Aspergillus ibericus CBS 121593 is the source of this 90-nucleotide non-coding RNA. Lineage: Eukaryota; Fungi; Ascomycota; Eurotiomycetes; Eurotiales; Aspergillaceae. The record is from the annotation of a RefSeq genome assembly.
GCCCGGGUGGUCUAGUGGUAUGAUUCUCGCUUAGGGAUUUAACCCAAGCAUAUCUGCGAGAGGUCCCGCGUUCGAUCCGCGGCUCGGGCC